Non-coding RNA from Pelobates cultripes (western spadefoot toad), 213 nucleotides. The record is from the annotation of a GenBank genome assembly. NCBI's taxonomy places the organism in Eukaryota, Metazoa, Chordata, Amphibia, Anura, Pelobatidae.
CAAAAGCACAAGGUGUGCAAUACUCAGAGACAUGGCCAAGGUAAGAAAGGCUGAAAGACGACCACCACUGAACAACACACACAAGCUGAAACGUCAAGACUGGGCCAAGAAAUAUCUCAAGACUGAUUUUUCUAAGGUUUUAUGGACUGAUGAAAUGAGAGUGAGUCUUGAUGGGCCAGAUGGAUGGGCCCGUGGCUGGAUUGGUAAAGGGCG